ACCAAACUAAACUAAGCCUUUGGCUCUGUUUUGUUGUUGUUGUUGCCUCUAUGUUUUUGAUGCAGUGUUUGGCUCUGUUUUUUUGUUGCCUUUCUGUUUCAGAUGCAGUGUCAUUGACCUUUGCUUUGUAACUAAUUAGAGAAACAUAAAAACAUAAUUUAUAAGUCAGUAUUGGUACACAUUAUGCAGAACUAAAUGACAAAUUUUUGAGUUUUAAAAAAAGAAACUAAAAGACAAAUAAAAGCUCAACAAUGAACAGAUCAGAACAAAUAAUCUAAAAUUAUGAAGGCAUCAAAGGUGCAGAAAAAUGCAGAUGAUGAGCAAAGCAAUCAAAACAUCAAACAAGAAAUUGAUGGAGAAGGACAAAGGCAGGCAAGAAAGCAAUUAAACAGAUCAAAAACUCUAUAAAAACACCUUAUCAAUUUCAAAAAGGGAAAUGGGAGUUUAACUAAAAACACACACACACACAGAAAGAAGGAGGAGGGGGAAAUCGAACACGAACAGAAAAAUACCAAAAGAGAAAAAGAAGAAAACAGAGUAGUAGCAAAAGCAAACAAGCAAGAAGAGGAAAAGGUAUGUUUUCUUUUUAUAUUAUAAUAGCUUUAGUGUUAUAUAAAUGUAAGGUUAGUAGUAAAAAGAUAAGGCUAAAAAACUCAAACCUCUGAUGGUACCGUCGCCGGAAAACUAACCACCUCUACAUCAUCGUCGUCGUCUUUUUCGCCGGUAAACAUCGAUUCGCGUCUGUUAUGUUGUCUCGUUCGCUAAUAUGGCACUUUCAUUAUGUUUGUUUUGUUUGCUUAAAUUUUGAUUGUUGUUGGAUUUAUGGUUGAAAGCGAUACUUUUUUUCUUCCUUUGUUUAAAAAUUAAAAGGCUGUUAAAACUGAAGCAUGCUUGCAUCCUUAUCUCAACAUAAGUAUAGGUAUCACAAUGGCAAGGCUAGGCAGCUUAGGUUCACU
Molecule: long non-coding RNA, 956 nt
Filed under: Cicer arietinum (chickpea)
Lineage: Eukaryota; Viridiplantae; Streptophyta; Magnoliopsida; Fabales; Fabaceae
Description: long non-coding RNA (CARI_LNC001099)
Source: RNAcentral